UACAACCUAUAUAAGGUCAAGGAGUCGGCAUCAGGCACAAAAACUCGCCCAUAACACCUAGUCUCACCACACCCUCAAGGGUACUCAGCAGUGAUAAACAUUGCCCAUAAGCGUCAGCUUGAAUCAGUUAAAGAAAAAAGAGCCGGCCAACCCGGUGCCAGCCGCCGCGGCUACACCAUGGGCCUCAAAUUGAUAUCUUCGGGGCUUAA
This 209-nucleotide ribosomal RNA is filed under the name Raorchestes annandalii (Himalaya bubble-nest frog). RNAcentral describes it as "partial 12S ribosomal RNA". Lineage: Eukaryota; Metazoa; Chordata; Amphibia; Anura; Rhacophoridae. The record is from RNAcentral.